RNAcentral lists this transfer RNA (75 nucleotides) under Caudoviricetes sp. RNAcentral's name for it is "tRNA-Gly". It matches the Rfam family "tRNA". From Rfam's summary of the family: Transfer RNA (tRNA) molecules are approximately 80 nucleotides in length. Their secondary structure includes four short double-helical elements and three loops (D, anti-codon, and T loops). The record is from RNAcentral. Lineage: Duplodnaviria; Heunggongvirae; Uroviricota; Caudoviricetes.
GCGGGUGAGGCUCGGUGGUCGGGCGGCAGUCUUCCAAACUGUUCAGGGUCGGUUCGAUUCUGGCCGCCCGCUCCA